CCUACGGGGGGCAGCAGUGGGGAAUAUUGGACAAUGGGCGAAAGCCUGAUCCAGCCAUGCCGCGUGUGUGAAGAAGGCCUUCGGGUUGUAAAGCACUUUCAGUGGGGAAGAAAGCCUUGGGGCUAAUACCCUCGAGGAAGGACAUCACCUACAGAAGAAGCACCGGCUAACUCCGUGCCAGCAGCCGCGGUAAUACGGAGGGUGCGAGCGUUAAUCGGAAUUACUGGGCGUAAAGCGCGCGUAGGCGGUCUGAUAAGCCGGUUGUGAAAGCCCCGGGCUCAACCUGGGAACGGCAUCCGGAACUGUCAGGCUAGAGUGCAGGAGAGGAAGGUAGAAUUCCCGGUGUAGCAGUGAAAUGCGUAGAGAUCGGGAGGAAUACCAGUGGCGAAGGCGGCCUUCUGGACUGACACUGACGCUGAGGUGCGAAAGCGUGGGUAGCAAACAGGAUUAGAUACCCCGGUAGUC
This 465-nucleotide ribosomal RNA is filed under the name Vreelandella stevensii. RNAcentral's name for it is "partial 16S ribosomal RNA". It matches the Rfam family "Bacterial small subunit ribosomal RNA", at positions 338 to 795 of the family's 1533-position model. Lineage: Bacteria; Pseudomonadati; Pseudomonadota; Gammaproteobacteria; Oceanospirillales; Halomonadaceae. The record is from RNAcentral.